Molecule: unclassified non-coding RNA, 339 nt
Filed under: soil metagenome
Description: partial contains 5.8S ribosomal RNA, internal transcribed spacer 2, and large subunit ribosomal RNA
Rfam family: 5.8S ribosomal RNA (bases 1-120)
Source: RNAcentral
GAUGAAGAACGUAGCGAAAUGCGAUACGUAGUGUGAAUUGCAGAAUUCAGUGAAUCAUCGAAUCUUUGAACGCACAUUGCACCUCUCGGUAUUCCGGGAGGUAUGCCUGUUCGAGCGUCAUUUGUACCCUCAAGCUCUGCUUGGUGUUGGGUGUUUGUCCCGCCUCUGUGUGUGAACUCGCCUCAAAACAAUUGGCAGCCGGCGUACUUGUUUCGGAGCGCAGCACAUUUUGCGAUCCAGAUCAACGUACAGCGGCAUCCAAGAAGCCUUAUUUAACGCUCUUGACCUCGGAUCAGGUAGGGAUACCCGCUGAACUUAAGCAUAUCAAUAAGCGGAGGA